GUACAUCUCAAGGGAUGCUUAGGUGA
Molecule: non-coding RNA, 26 nt
Filed under: Homo sapiens (human)
Lineage: Eukaryota; Metazoa; Chordata; Mammalia; Primates; Hominidae
Source: RNAcentral